UACAGAGGGGGCAAGCGUUGUUCGGAAUUACUGGGCGUAAAGGGCGCGUAGGCGGCCUGCUAAGUCGAACGUGAAAUCCCUGGGCUCAACCCAGGAACUGCGUCCGAUACUGGUUGGCUUGAAUCCGGGAGAGGGAUGUGGGAUUCCAGGUGUAGCGGUGAAAUGCGUAGAUAUCUGGAGGAACACCGGUGGCGAAGGCGACAUCCUGGACCGGUAUUGACGCUGAGGCGCGAAAGCCAGGGGAGCAAACGGG
RNAcentral lists this ribosomal RNA (253 nucleotides) under uncultured bacterium. Its description in RNAcentral is "partial 16S ribosomal RNA". It matches the Rfam family "Bacterial small subunit ribosomal RNA", at positions 524 to 776 of the family's 1533-position model. The record is from RNAcentral.